RNAcentral lists this ribosomal RNA (393 nucleotides) under Klebsiella pneumoniae. Its description in RNAcentral is "partial 23S ribosomal RNA". It matches the Rfam family "Bacterial large subunit ribosomal RNA", at positions 969 to 1360 of the family's 2925-position model. Lineage: Bacteria; Pseudomonadati; Pseudomonadota; Gammaproteobacteria; Enterobacterales; Enterobacteriaceae. The record is from RNAcentral.
AUGUUAUCACGGGAGACACACGGCGGGUGCUAACGUUCGUCGUGAAGAGGGAAACAACCCAGACCGCCGGCUAAGGUCCCAAAGUCAUAAUUAAGUGGGAAACGAAGUGGGAAGGCUCAGACAGCCAGGAUGUUGGCUUAGAAGCAGCCAUCAUUUAAAGAAAGCGUAAUAGCUCACUGGUCGAGUCGGCCUGCGCGGAAGAUGUAACGGGGCUAAAUUAUGCACCGAAGCCGCGGCAGCGAUAUGUAAAUAUUGUUGGGUAGGGGAGCGUUCUGUAAGCCUGUGAAGGUGGCCUGUGAGGGCUGCUGGAGGUAUCAGAAGUGCGAAUGCUGACAUAAGUAACGAUAAUGCGGGUGAAAAACCCGCACGCCGGAAGACCAAGGGUUCCUGUCC